This 490-nucleotide ribosomal RNA is filed under the name uncultured bacterium. RNAcentral's name for it is "partial 16S ribosomal RNA". It matches the Rfam family "Bacterial small subunit ribosomal RNA", at positions 30 to 507 of the family's 1533-position model. The record is from RNAcentral.
AUUGAACGCUGGCGGCAGGCCUAACACAUGCAAGUCGAACGGUAACAGGAAGAAGCUUGCUUCUUUGCUGACGAGUGGCGGACGGGUGAGUAAUGUCUGGGGAACUGCCUGAUGGAGGGGGAUAACUACUGGAAACGGUAGCUAAUACCGCAUAAUGUCGCAAGACCAAAGAGGGGGACCUUCGGGCCUCUUGCCAUCGGAUGUGCCCAGAUGGGAUUAGCUAGUAGGUGGGGUAACGGCUCACCUAGGCGACGAUCCCUAGCUGGUCUGAGAGGAUGACCAGCCACACUGGAACUGAGACACGGUCCAGACUCCUACGGGAGGCAGCAGUGGGGAAUAUUGCACAAUGGGCGCAAGCCUGAUGCAGCUAUGCCGCGUGUAUGAAGAAGGCCUUCGGGUUGUAAAGUACUUUCAGCGGGGAGGAAGGGAGUAAAGUUAAUACCUUUGCUCAUUGACGUUACCCGCAGAAGAAGCACCGGCUAACUCCGUG